AGAGUUUGAUCCUGGCUCAGGAUGAACGCUGGCGGCGUGCCUAAUACAUGCAAGUCGAGCGAACGGACGAGAAGCUUGCUUCUCUGAUGUUAGCGGCGGACGGGUGAGUAACACGUGGAUAACCUACCUAUAAGACUGGGAUAACUUCGGGAAACCGUAGCUAAUACCGGAUAAUAUUUUGAACCGCAUGGUUCAAAAGUGAAAGACGGUCUUGCUGUCACUUAUAGAUGGAUCCGCGCUGCAUUAGCUAGUUGGUAAGGUAACGGCUUACCAAGGCAACGAUGCAUAGCCGACCUGAGAGGGUGAUCGGCCACACUGGAACUGAGACACGGUCCAGACUCCUACGGGAGGCAGCAGUAGGGAAUCUUCCGCAAUGGGCGAAAGCCUGACGGAGCAACGCCGCGUGAGUGAUGAAGGUCUUCGGAUCGUAAAACUCUGUUAUUAGGGAAGAACAUAUGUGUAAGUAACUGUGCACAUCUUGACGGUACCUAAUCAGAAAGCCACGGCUAACUACGUGCCAGCAGCCGCGGUAAUACGUAGGUGGCAAGCGUUAUCCGGAAUUAUUGGGCGUAAAGCGCGCGUAGGCGGUUUUUUAAGUCUGAUGUGAAAGCCCACGGCUCAACCGUGGAGGGUCAUUGGAAACUGGAAAACUUGAGUGCAGAAGAGGAAAGUGGAAUUCCAUGUGUAGCGGUGAAAUGCGCAGAGAUAUGGAGGAACACCAGUGGCGAAGGCGACUUUCUGGUCUGUAACUGACGCUGAUGUGCGAAAGCGUGGGGAUCAAACAGGAUUAGAUACCCUGGUAGUCCACGCCGUAAACGAUGAGUGCUAAGUGUUAGGGGGUUUCCGCCCCUUAGUGCUGCAGCUAACGCAUUAAGCACUCCGCCUGGGGAGUACGACCGCAAGGUUGAAACUCAAAGGAAUUGACGGGGACCCGCACAAGCGGUGGAGCAUGUGGUUUAAUUCGAAGCAACGCGAAGAACCUUACCAAAUCUUGACAUCCUUUGACAACUCUAGAGAUAGAGCCUUCCCCUUCGGGGGACAAAGUGACAGGUGGUGCAUGGUUGUCGUCAGCUCGUGUCGUGAGAUGUUGGGUUAAGUCCCGCAACGAGCGCAACCCUUAAGCUUAGUUGCCAUCAUUAAGUUGGGCACUCUAAGUUGACUGCCGGUGACAAACCGGAGGAAGGUGGGGAUGACGUCAAAUCAUCAUGCCCCUUAUGAUUUGGGCUACACACGUGCUACAAUGGACAAUACAAAGGGCAGCGAAACCGCGAGGUCAAGCAAAUCCCAUAAAGUUGUUCUCAGUUCGGAUUGUAGUCUGCAACUCGACUACAUGAAGCUGGAAUCGCUAGUAAUCGUAGAUCAGCAUGCUACGGUGAAUACGUUCCCGGGUCUUGUACACACCGCCCGUCACACCACGAGAGUUUGUAACACCCGAAGCCGGUGGAGUAACCUUUUAGGAGCUAGCCGUCGAAGGUGGGAUAAAUGAUUGGGGUGAAGUCGUAACAAGGUAGCCGUAUCGGAAGGUGCGGCUGGAUCACCU
Molecule: ribosomal RNA, 1540 nt
Filed under: Staphylococcus aureus
Lineage: Bacteria; Bacillati; Bacillota; Bacilli; Caryophanales; Staphylococcaceae
Description: 16S ribosomal RNA
Rfam family: Bacterial small subunit ribosomal RNA
Source: RNAcentral